This 460-nucleotide ribosomal RNA is filed under the name uncultured bacterium. RNAcentral's name for it is "partial 16S ribosomal RNA". It matches the Rfam family "Bacterial small subunit ribosomal RNA", at positions 338 to 795 of the family's 1533-position model. The record is from RNAcentral.
CCUACGGGAGGCAGCAGUGAGGAAUAUUGGUCAAUGGCCGUAAGGCUGAACCAGCCAAGUCGCGUGAAGGAAGAAGGAUCUAUGGUUUGUAAACUUCUUUUAUAGGGGAAUAAAGGUAUCCACGUGUGGAUAUUUGCAUGUACCCGAAGAAUAAGCAUCGGCUAACUCCGUGCCAGCAGCCGCGGUAAUACGGAGGAUGCGAGCGUUAUCCGGAUUUAUUGGGGUUAAAGGGUGCGUAGGCUGUUGUUUAAGUCAGCGGUGAAAGUUUGGGGCUGAACCAUAAAAUUGCCGUUGAAACUGGAAGACUUGAGUGUGUGAGAGGUAGGCGGAAUGCGUGGUGUAGCGGUGAAAUGCAUAGAUAUCACGCAGAACUCCGAUUGCGAAGGCAGCUUACUGGGCCGUAACUGACGCUGAGGCACGAAAGCGUGGGGAUCGAACAGGAUUAGAUACCCCUGUAGUC